UUAGGUAUGAUAGUAAGAGUUAGAAUGAGGGAGUGCCACAUUUUCUUUCAUUUUCCUUUUCAUUUUCGGAUAGAGAGAGGCAGAGAAAGACAAGAAGAAGAAAAAAAAAGGGAAAAGAGAAAGGGGAAGAACAAAGGGGAGCUAGGAUUUGAAGGAGACAUUGAAGAGGUCCUGGAGUUUAGUAGCUCGUGUGUGAUCUAGCCGGAGAUUCUCCCGUGUUUGUUAGAGAUUAGGUUGUGAGUCGAUGCUCUGGUCAUGUAACACUGGGUAGAUUAGUCAUGCUGAACUCAUGUUUCGAUUUGGUUAUGUAUUAUGUUUAUGACUUGAGAACUUGUUAUUUGGCUACUUGUUGUUUAAGAGGCUUUCAAGCCAAA
Long non-coding RNA from Vicia villosa (hairy vetch), 374 nucleotides. RefSeq lists it as uncharacterized. The transcript is spliced from 2 exons. Lineage: Eukaryota; Viridiplantae; Streptophyta; Magnoliopsida; Fabales; Fabaceae. The record is from RefSeq and is a predicted model, not a curated record.